GGUACAGUGGGAUGCAGUGGUCUGCUUCACAUAUCUCAGAGCACAUGUGGAGCCUGGGCUGGCCAAAGCAAGCCCUAGAUCUCAGUCACCAACUGCUCUGACCUGACUCUGGUUUCACUCUGUGAAACAGGCUGGGCAUCUUUGGGCAGCCUCUCCUGCCCCUGGGGCAGAGGAAGUCUAGACUGAGCAGAGGCUUGGAUGAGGCUGACUACAGGACACGUCUGUCUGGAUGGCUGCUAACCUCCUCCCUGCUGUUUCUCUGCAGGAGUCCUGCUGGCGAGCUGUGAGCCUGGAGUGAGGCCUCAGAGAGGGAUCCUAAGGCAAUGUUCUGGUUCUUUUGAGUCUGUGGGCUGCAAAACUCUCAGGGUUCUGACCAGUCCAGGCCUGACCAGUCUUGAGCGGAUUCCUGCCCCCACCUAGUUACAGGACCUCCUUGUGCUUCAGGACUCGGUCAAGCACUGGACCAAUUACGUGUAUGCGGAGACUGAGCCCUGAAGGCUGCUGUAUCCUCAGGCCUUUGGCAGCCCCUCUGCUUGGCUCCCUGUGCCAUCUGACCCAGGAGUCACGUGA
Molecule: long non-coding RNA, 570 nt
Filed under: Mus spicilegus (steppe mouse)
Lineage: Eukaryota; Metazoa; Chordata; Mammalia; Rodentia; Muridae
Description: lncRNA (ENSMSIG00000009427.1)
Source: RNAcentral